AGAUAUCUUUUCCAGGUAGUUCAGACACAAACCACGACAGCUUAUUGUAGAAUACUACCUACACUGGACCACCACGUUUGAGAUAUCUUUUUCAGGUAGUUCAGACACAAACCACGACAGUUUAUUGUAGAAUACUGCCUACACUGGACCACCACGUUUGAGAUAUCUUUUUCAGGUAGUUCAGACACAAACCACGACAGUUUAUUGUAGAAUACUGCCUACACUGGACCACCACGUUUGAGAUAUCUUUUUCAGGUAGUUCAGACACAAACCACGACAGUUUAUUGUAGAAUACUACCUACACUGAACCACCACGUUUGAGAUAGAGUAUCUUGCUGACAAGUUGUUAGAACAGCAUUGCCACAACUUGUUAACAAGGUUGCUACAAGCCUGUUGAGGAAAUAUCUUGUUGACAAGUUGUUGGAACAGUAUUGUCACAACUUGUUAAAAAGCUUGCUACAACCCUGUUGAGGAAAUAUUUUGUUGACAAGUUGUUGGAACAGCAUUGUCACAACUUGUUAACAAGCUUGCUACAAGCCUGCUGAGGAAAUAUCUUGUUGACAAGUUGUUCGAACAGCAUUGUCACAACUUGUUAACAAGGUUGCUACAAGCCUGUUGAGGAAAUAUCUUGUUGACAAGUUGUUGGAACAGUAUUGUCACAACUUGUUAAAAAGCUUGCUACAACCCUGUUGAGGAAAUAUUUUGUUGACAAGUUGUUGGAACAGCAUUGUCACAACUUGUUAACAAGCUUGCUACAAGCCUGCUGAGGAAAUAUCUUGUUGACAAGUUGUUCGAACAGCAUUGUCACAACUUGUUAACAAGGUUGCUACAAGCCUGUUGAGGAAAUAUCUUGUUGACAAGUUGUUGGAACAGUAUUGUCACAACUUGUUAAAAAGCUUGCUACAAGCCUGUUGAGGAAAUAUUUUGUUGACAAGUUGUUGGAACAGCAUUGUCGCAACUUGUUAACAAGCUUGCUACAAGCCUGCUGAGGAAAUAUCUUGUUGACAACUUGUUGGAACAGCAUUGUCACAACUUGUUAACAAGCUUGCUACAAACCUGUUGAGAAAAUACCUUGUUGACAAGUUGUUGGAACAGCAUUGUCACAACUUGUUAACAAGCUUGCUACAAGCCUGCUGAGGAAAUAUCUUGUUGACAAGUUGUUCGAACAGCAUUGUCACAACUUGUUAACAAGCUUGCUACAAGCCUGUUGAGGAAAUAUCUUGCUGACAAGUUGUUGGAACAG
Paramuricea clavata is the source of this 1243-nucleotide non-coding RNA. The record is from the annotation of a GenBank genome assembly. Lineage: Eukaryota; Metazoa; Cnidaria; Anthozoa; Malacalcyonacea; Plexauridae.